Regulatory RNA element from Culex pipiens (northern house mosquito), 46 nucleotides. It matches the Rfam family "Histone 3' UTR stem-loop". Rfam says of the family: The mRNAs of metazoan histone genes lack a poly-A tail. 3' end processing occurs at a site between a highly conserved stem-loop (modelled by this family) and a purine rich region around 20 nts downstream (the histone downstream element, or HDE). The record is from Rfam. Lineage: Eukaryota; Metazoa; Arthropoda; Insecta; Diptera; Culicidae.
CAAACGGCCCUUUUCAGGGCCACCAAAUUUAUUACGAAGGAGUAAU